GGGUGCGUAACACGUGGGAAUUUAUCCGGAAGUGGGGGAUAGCUUGCCGAAAGGCAAAUUAAUACCGCAUAUGCCCGUAAGGGCAAAGUGGGGGACCGCAAGGCCUCACGCUAUCGGAGGAGCCCGCGCCCUAUCAGCUAGUUGGUGAGGUAAUGGCUCACCAAGGCUUAGACGGGUAGCUGGUCUGAGAGGACGACCAGCCACACUGGAACUGAGACACGGUCCAGACACCUACGGGUGGCAGCAGUCGAGGAUUUUUCUCAAUGGGGGCAACCCUGAAGGAGCGACGCCGCGUGGAGGAUGAAGGGCUUCGGCUCGUAAACUCCUGUCACCGACGAACAAGGCAUCCGGAUUAAUAAAUCGGAUGCUUGAUGGUAGUCGGAGAGGAAGGGGCGGCUAACUCUGUGCCAGCAGCCGCGGUGAUACAGAGGCCCCAAGCGUUGUUCGGAUUUACUGGGCGUAAAGGGUGUGUAGGGGUCGUGUAAGUUUGACGUGA
This 496-nucleotide ribosomal RNA is filed under the name uncultured bacterium. Its description in RNAcentral is "bacterial SSU rRNA". It matches the Rfam family "Bacterial small subunit ribosomal RNA", at positions 104 to 597 of the family's 1533-position model. The record is from RNAcentral.